UGGUAACAUGGUUGAAUAGAAAAAGCUCUUGAAAUAAACGCACAAUUUACAUAGAUGACGGCUAAGCAAUGUUUUAAAUAAAACCAGUGAAUUCGCGAAGUUGCAUAUUUACUCCUGCUUCCUGAGCAAACAUUGGCGCCCCCGGGUGGACUCACUGGUUCUUGGCCGUCUUCUAAACUUCGGAUUUGCGUAUUGUUAUAAGUUGGUAAAUCACCAAGAGUUAUAUAACAAGUGCACGCGGCCAAUUCGCGUUACGCAACAAAUGCAUCGGCAUCGCACAUUGGGUGCAUGGUCCAAGUUGGAGACGCAUUUACGCGCCCGUGCAACUUUAAUUUCAUCUUUCGUUGUUGGAGCGCCCGCACAGCCGGAGCGCAGUACCCACGUACAUCUCGGCGUAGAGGGAGCGCACAUCGGCUGCGUCCAUCUCCUCGCCACAUUCUCGUCGGCACCCAUAGAGAGGUGCAAUAGAACGUCGUCUUUCGUCGCUGGAGCACCCGGAGAGGGGUGAGCCCCAUACAUCAUCGUAGAGGGAGCGCACAUCGGCUGCGUCCCUAACCUCCAUUUCGUCACAGGAGAGCAUCAGCGGGCUUCAACCUAACCUCGUCGGAAACACCGAGAAGUACAGCGAUCCGUAUUGUAUAUGGUAAAGUGGCCUACAUUUGUUGGGCGGCGCGGCCCGCUCGAUCGACUCUACUGCGACAAUGCAACCAAUUUUGUUGGUUCCUCACGGCUGCUUCAGGAGAUGGCCUCCGAUGUCCGCAGCACACUGGGAACGUAAGGCGUCCAUCACCAGGUUGAGUUCGUCUUCAUUCCGCCCCGGUCGCCUCAUUUCGGGGGCCUAUGGGAGGCCGCCGUCAAGUCCGCCAAACACCUCUUUUUGAGGACCGUCGGAAACGCCUUGCUGAAGGAGGACGAAGUCCAGACGAUCCUGGUUGAAGUGGAAGCAGUGCUUAACUCGCAUCCGCUAAUAGCUGACAGCAGCAACCCUAACGACGGAGAGGCUAUUACUCCAGCCCACUUUCUGGUAGGCACCACGCUCGCUGCUCUACCCCCAGGAUCGGCACCUCCUCAUCCGGACGACGACCUAACUCAUCUACAACGCUGGCAGCUUAUAUCAGCCAUCAAGCGACGGUUUUGGCGAGACUGGUCCCGUGACUACAUAGCUGGGCUGCAGCAAAGAGUUAAGUGGACAAAGGAAUCGGCCAACCUUCUACCAGGAACCAUCGUCGUCAUCAAAGAGGACAAUUUACCGCCCCAGAAGUGGCUGCUCGGCAGAGUCACCGAAGUAACGCACGGAUCGGAUGGCAAGGUGCGCGUUGCUCUAGUAAAAACCAAGUAAGGCGUAUACAAACGCUCAGUACAUCAUCUGGCACCUCUUCCCAUUAAUUGAAGGCCUACAGCGCUUCAACGCGGGCGAUGUUUGGUCAUCUCACUGUUUGUUUUGUUUUCUAUGGUCGUUGCGAUGCCGACUAUCGAAAGCUGCGAGCAGGGGCGUAGCACAGCUGAUAAUCGCUAAUAAAUUACCCCCUACAAGUCGGCAAGCAACGAUCAUACAACAAAAUACUAGAUUAAAAAACUACUAAAUUACCAUAAAAUACUAACUCUAGAUACCAAUGUAAUAAGGAAGAUCUGAAACGAGCGAGUUGGUAACAUGGUUGAAUAGAAAAAGCUCUUGAAAUAAACGCACAAUUUACAUAGAUGACGGCUAAGCAAUGUUUUAAAUAAAACCAGUGAAUUCGCGAAGUUGCAUAUUUACUCCUGCUUCCUGAGCAAACAGAUGGGCUUACUAAAAUUUUAAGAUUGUACACAAAAAGCGACAAUUACAAAAGAAGCAUUAAGCGACUACUUCAGAGCUUAUAGCACACCAAAGUCAAUGGUUUCAGAUAGAGGCAGUUGCUUUACCUCUAAUGAAUUCAAGCAGUUCCUGUCGAAAAGAAACGUAAGACACUUAAAAAUAGCUAGUGGAUCCCCACAAGGAAAUGGGCAGGUCGAACGAAUAAAUAGAAGCAUUGGUCCUACGAUUGCAAAACUUACGGAACCUGAAAACGGUGCACAUUGGGACACAGUAAUUGAGCAAAUAGAGUAUACACUUAAUAACACUGUACACAGAAGUAUUAAAGAGAUCCCAAGCAAAAUGCUACUUGGUGUACAACAGAAGGGUUAGAUUGUAGAUGACCUUAGAGAAGGAAUUGAAGAUAUACAGGAUAUGAUUGUAACAGAACGUUUAAAAGAGAAUUGAAUAAAGGUUACGUAUAAUCAAAAUCAAGCACAGGCAUACAAUAAGACUUAUUUUGACAAUGCAAAGAAAAAGGCGAAGGAUUAUGCAAAGGGGGAUUACGUUAUGGUGAAAAAUGUUGAUAGUACAGCGGGAGUGGCAUGAAAGUUGAUACCCAAGAAUAAAGGCCCAUACAUUAUAGCAAAGGUACUUCACAACGGCAGGUUCUUUUUGAAGGAUGUUGAGGCUUCCAAGUCUCUCGAAAUCCAUACAAGGGUCAUUAGAGUGCUAAAAAAAAUAUAAGACCGUGGAUAGGUAAAAGGAAAUCAUUGUAAUGCAGAGGUUCAAUAUAACAUGUAAAGAAACAUAAGAAUAUUGUAAUUAGAUUUAACUUUAGUCCUAAGUACAUCAGGAUCAGGAGAUCCAGUACGCAGAAUGUCCGAAUUGUAGUAGGCUCAUCGGAUGGUCACAUUAUUACAGAUAUCUCUGGUAAGAGAGACGAAUUGAUAGUUUUUAAGUAACGGAGACGAAAUGCAGACUGGUGUGAACAGUCGAGCGAAACGAACGUGCUAAUAAAUAGUAUAAGUUUGUGCCUUCUGA
Drosophila suzukii is the source of this 2815-nucleotide non-coding RNA. Lineage: Eukaryota; Metazoa; Arthropoda; Insecta; Diptera; Drosophilidae. The record is from RefSeq and is a predicted model, not a curated record.